UGAGCUUAGACUGUGAACUUUACAAGUAUUUCUCUCUUUUUUUCCCUCUCUCCUUAGGUAGCUGAGGAUGGCUAAGUGGGUUGGAGUUGAUACUUUCCUCCUCCUUUAUGGAAAGCUAUACUUGACUGAGGUUGGGUUUUCACCUUCUCCCAGGUGAGUUAGGGAGGGACUGAUAACAGCCAGCACAUUAGUUUCUGGUUAAUUUGUUUCUUCUGAGAGCAGGCCUCCUUAAGAACAGAGUGCUCUGGCGUUUUUCAAAAUGGUUCCUUUUCUCUUGCUGCCACUGGAAGCCAGAGGGGAUUCUUCUCUCCUACUUACGCACUGGCUCCCUUCGCAUCUUCUGCUGCUGAGUCUCUGCUCAGAAUCCAGAUGGGUCUUGGAAGAUGACUGUAGACGACUGCAAGCUCAAUCUAGUAGUUGCCUUGAUUGAAGCUUCCAUGACUAAUGUGGUAAGAAGAUCUGUAGACAAGUGUUUCCUAUUCUUGGAAGACAAACCCAGCACAUUUUCAGCAAUUUAUUGGACUUUCACUGCCCAUGUCUUCUAAGAAAUCAGUUUAUCUUUCUUGGUGGAAUCUGUGAACAGAACUGCAUUUCCAAUUGACAGGUGCAGGAAUUUCCCUGGUUAGCUGCCCCUUUGCUCUUUUUCCUGUGCUGUCACCAGAGAGAAAUGACUGGAGGCCUUGGUAAUGAAAACAUUUUCUGACAAAUAGUUCCAUCCAUGUGGAAAGAGGACAACACACGUCCAUAUGCAAACCUCCAUUCAAGUUCCUUCUUCCUAAUAGGGUUUGUUCUUUCUAUGACUGUUCAAAUCAUUCGACCAUUCACAGAAAUUUUAAAAGAGUAAGAAUUUACAGGGGUCAAAGCAAUGGCUAUUGGCUUCUACAUGUAAAGUGGGGUAGGUGGACGAAGGUCAUCUUUGGGACUCUGCUGUUGGUGUUUUCAAGUUAUACUUGUAGAACAUUUUUUUUUUCUUUUCCCGUCCAUUUCAUGGCUAAAUGUCUAAUAUGAGAAAGGUGUCCUAAUGAAAGAAGUACAGUAAUUACCCACUAGAGAGGCAGGAAGCCAUAUAAAGACACCAGUUGGAAAUAAAGGGCCUGGGGCCUGUUUUGUUCAAAGCUAAGGCUUUAAGUGUGUCUUGUAUCUCUCUUGCUUUCUUUUCUCUCUCUGAAAAGAUUUACCUGUCGAUGAGUGAGCACUGUGCAUCCUUAGUGAGAACACAUGGUACUGUGUAACCUCUCCUGGUGGAUUAUUUCAUAUAUCAUUUUAAGUGGGCAAUAAAAGAUAUUGCUAUUUAAGUCAUUAAGAAUAGUGACUUUACAAUGGGGCACUUGCAAAAAAAGAUGGCAUUAAUUUUCCAAACAAUUCUGCCUAGAAAAUCUGUAAGGACAGCCUUGGUAAUGGAAAUAAGUCAGAAGUUCUUUCUACUCCAGAUCCUUGUUGAGCUGGUCUUUUUAGUAGAAUCCCAUGGUCUUUGUUUCACAUCAGUGUCUUAGUUUUAUCCCUUGACAAAACAAGAAAUAUAAUAAAUGUGUGUCUAAGGAUCCAUGCCCUCACUUCAAAUUAAUUCUGUUCCAUUUUCCAUUGCUAGGAUUAAAAUCUCAGAGCUUUCUCCCAUGGUUUAAGGUGGUCACUUUGUGCUUCUUAAAUUUAUAUAGAACAUCUAAAAUGAAUUCUUUUGAUAUUAUUGUUUGACCUUUUGUACCUGUCUCUAUAAUAACAGAAACAGCAGGUUAUAAUUAUAUAAUAACUUACCUGUGUUUUGGUCUUAUGGUGUUUGUUUUUCCGUAUACGGUUUCAAAAUAUAAAAUGCUUUGAGGAAAGGGUAGAUUUUCUUGUUUGAUGGUUACCACUAAGGUCUGAUGGUUAUCAACAAAGCAAUCUUCAUAUUAUAUAUGGUCUUGAAAAUGAAAAAAAAAUUGUUUUCAAAAUCAGUGUAAUCCACUCUUGUCUUAAAGCAAUACCACUAUCUACUAACUAAUAUGCUAACCACCCUCACAGAAUUCCAUAUUCAUUACUUCUUGAAAUCACUUGGGUGAUAUUCAUUUGGUAGAUUCAAAAGUUAUAUGAUUUUUUUAGUCAAAUAGCUUUUAUUUUGUUAAAAAAUGUCAUGAACAGAAUAAUAAGCCAUCCAGGACCUAUAAUGGUAAAUGUAGAUAUCAAUUAACAUUGUUUUACUGGGGGAAAAAUCUAUGUAGAGUAUCUGUGGACUAAAGAAUCUUAUUUCCAUGCAUCAAAAGACGGUCUAAUGAUUUCUCAUGGUUUUACUACAACAGACAUGGUGCCUUACACGUGUGUCUAUAGUAAGUGGAUCUACUUUGGGGGGAAGUUAAUAAUCAACCCAUUUUCUAGUUUAAAUUCUAAAAAAUACCAUCAUUGGACAUUGUUACAGUACAUCUUAAUUCAGCUAACAGUAUAAACCUAUAAAACCUUAAGUGUUAUUUCAUAUUCAGUCUUCUGUAUGUCUUAAAAAUAUUAAAAGUGGCUACACACAAGAAAGGUAAAAGUAUCCAUUAAUCCAAGAAUAUUCUUGAAACAAUGUAGACAGUGGUUCCAUGAACUUGAGUCAGUCUGCUGAGUUUAAAUUUUGGUUUCACCUACUGGGUGUGUCACCGUGGGAAAGUUAUAAGACUCCUUCAACUAUCAGCUUCCUCAUCUAUAAAAUAAUUCCAGGACUUAAUUCCUGGGUUAUUGUGAAGGCUACAUGAUAGAGUAUAUGAGAUGAUUAGAACAAAUCAAGGUACCAAAUAGCACAAAUUAAGUGGCAGUUAAUUUGUGAGCUGGUCCAAACUAUUAGCUAUGUUUUUCCUUCCAGGAAUAAGAGAAUUACUAAAUAG
Molecule: long non-coding RNA, 2834 nt
Organism: Felis catus (domestic cat)
Lineage: Eukaryota; Metazoa; Chordata; Mammalia; Carnivora; Felidae
Exons: 4
Source: RefSeq, a predicted model, not a curated record